RNAcentral lists this long non-coding RNA (12787 nucleotides) under Eucalyptus grandis. RNAcentral's name for it is "long non-coding RNA (EGRA_LNC005317)". Lineage: Eukaryota; Viridiplantae; Streptophyta; Magnoliopsida; Myrtales; Myrtaceae. The record is from RNAcentral.
AAAGUGGAGGAAAUGGCGACGAGGAAAGUGGCGGCGGCCCAGAGGAAGGCGCCGAGGGCGAUGACGUGGGCACGGUUGUGGCGGGACGCGAGGUAAGCGGCGAGCGGAUAGCAAGCGGACUGGACAAUGGAUCGGAACAGGGUCAACGACCCGAGGCCCGUCGGAUCGGCGUGCAGGGCGGCGCCCACCUCCUUGUACACCCCCGGGAGCAGGGACUCGUCGGCCCUCUCCAUGAUGGACGCCAGAUUCACCAGCACCAGCGUCACCGUCUCCGACUUCAUCGCGCCUUCUUGCGCGCCGUUCCAAGAACGGAGGAAGAUCGGAGACUUCUUCUCCGUCACUGCGCCUUCGAGGGAAGAAAUUUCUUUGUUUGACUUGACUGGCGUGUUGGUGGGGACUGUAGUCGGUGGAGGAUUUGAUUGGCCGCGGGAGGGCAUAGCGUGGGGGCCUCAGCCGAGCGGAGCGUGGGCCGAAGACCGUACGAUCUGGAGGGUGUCCCGCUUGUACGGACGAGAUAUCGUGAGAUGGGUCGAAGCAGUUGUUGCGGGAAUUUCGCCUUUUGGUGCGUGGAAAGAAAUUGAGGAGGACGACUUGUCCACCAUUUUCGGACAAGAUGCUUCUGUUUCUAAUUUGCUCGCCCAAUCAAAACGCGUUGCUUCUUUCCAGGACACACAACUAUAGAGGUAUAAACAAGGGCAAAAAUAGAAAGUGAGGCAAAUUCAUAGGAAUCUCGCUUAGGUAUCUCGUUGGACGAAUAGUUUUUUUUCUGUUAAAUAUAUUAUGUAUUGGUCAAUUGAAUUUUAAACAUUUUAUUUUUAGUUAAUCGAGUCAUAAAUAUUUUAACCUAGAUUCGAUUCCGUUCUAAUGUUGUCAUCAGCAACGUUUCGUGAACAAAAAUUUACCUUUUUCGUUCUACAAACUAAUCAUGAUUUUUAAUCAUAAUUAAGGUAUAUAUGUGUGUGUGUGUGUUCUACUUCAUAAGAAUUCCAAAAAUUUAUUUUUCAAGAAGUUGGAAAUUUUUUUAGAGUGCUAUUUGCUCAUUAAAAGGUUUAAAUUGAACAAAAGAUUGUAAAUAAAAGAUACUUAUGGUGUGUAUGAUGAUAUUUCUAUUUUUGAGAAUAAUUUCUAUUCAUAAAUAGUUUUUUUCUAUUUUUAUUCCUUAAACAAAUUUUGAGCAAAAAAAACGCGUUUAAUAACUAUAUAAAAUUUCUAUUCUCGGAAUAAAAAAAAUAGAAAUGUGUUUGAUACGUCCAUAAAAGCUUCUAUUCCCAAUUUUUUUUCAUUUUAUAAAAAUAUCAGUGGAAACUCAACAGUUGUUGUUUAGAUAAAACUAGACUUUUGUGAGAUUUAAUUGAUCAAGAUAUUCUAAAAUGACCUUAGAAAAUCCAAUGCAACAGUUAAUCAAAGAUGAAUGGUUGAAAAUGGCAACGGAGAGUCCUAGUGAUUUGUCACUCAUGACAUUAGAGGUUGACUAGUAAAUAUUUAGGCAUUACAAUAAACAGGUGCAUAGACAUUUUGAGUUUUUUUAGAUGCAAGAAAACUAGCAAACGUUGCCUCGUGAAAUUGUUAGGAUAAAACAGCUGAGGAUGGAGGUGAUUCUAAAGUUGGUGCACUUCUUUACACAAACUCCAAACAAAUGACAUCGAAAAUCCAUGGAGCACAGGUUGAUUCAACUGCAAUGAACGUAAGACAAAUGGUAAUGCAAAAAAACUUCUUUAGAGCCAUAUAAUUUUCUAUUAAAAUAGAAUUGCAGAUGAUCUAAAAGGAUGUCUCCAAUAGAAUCUUAAAGGAAGAAGACGUCUUCUCUCAGCCCAAGUGUCACGGCCAAAAGGUUUCUGGAGCUAAAGGGUCGUGCCUUGCUGCAAAGGACCUCCUGCGAUCGCUAGGAUUCCUGACAAGUCUUCUUCCAAAACUUUCCAAGGGCGGGCGAUAUCAUCAUUACGAUAAAUUCUAGAAGUCUCUAACCAUUAAUGUGGGUAGUUGAUAGCUGUCAUUAGUAUCGGUAGAUAUGGCAGUAUGAUCUCAUCCGCUGGAUGAAUUCUAGAUCAACGGAUAUAAUGAGAGAAGCUCUAGUAUAAGAAAGGGUGCCCUCCUCCUCAUUUGUAUUCAUCAAAUCCUUUUAGCAAUACAAAGCUUCUUUCUUUCUAAAGCUUCUCUCUCUAGAAACUUUCUCUCUCUACAAUACAAUCCGAGUGUGCGAUUGAUGAAGCGAGGCUUGGCUUAGGCAAUCCAAAAGAGCCUGAGUUGCCGCACGAUCACGAUCCCAAUCGAUCGGCUCGUGACAUAAGUCUCCAAGUUGUCAAGACGUCACAUCAUCUUUAAAAGAAAAGUACAUUAAAAAAUCCAUAUAUGAAAGCCCUAAAUGCUUUGUCAAUUUUGAAUCCAAUUUUCAUCAAAAGAUUUUCACAUUUUUUUAUACUAAACUUAUUCUAAACUGGAAUUAACACUAAAAUCUAGAAAAACAUCUCAAAAAUCUAAUUUCUAAUUUUUUUUCCUAAAUUUAUAAUAAAAAAAAAAUGAUUCUGAAAAAUGGGGACUCUAAGACCCAAGUCUCAUCUAGAUCUUGUGUUAAUCAUGUAAAGACGAGCACUAGGUUACACUGGGCUUGUUUUUCUAAAAUAACCUUGUUUCUCUUUAAAAAGUAUAUAUUUUUUUACUUUUUAUUUUUAUUUCGAAUCUAUUCUAACUAAUAAUUUAUUUUGGAAAAUAGAAAAAGAACUUACGUACACAAUUAAAUUUUGUUCUUUUUUUUUUCAAAAAAAAAUAAAAGAACAGAAAACGGAAACAUAGAAAUGUAACCAAAAGGCCUUAGCCUCUCCUCUGUCUUUUGACCCUGGACACUCCCAUGUAGUCAAACUGUCCAUUCACCAUCCCAAGUAACGAAAACUCGAAGGCAUUUUAUAUUUUUGGAUUCCUCAAUUCUUCAAACGCUAUAAGACGGAUGGCAGAUAUACGACACUUUCUAACAUUUUAUGGAUUUUAUUAACGAAUCCUUUUAGAGAACUCUUCUAAUCAUUCUUCCUGUGAAAAUAUGUUAUUUUUCAACACACUAAUUACCUAUACACGAGAGAAAUUGUAUAUUGGAGAUAACAAAUGCACACUACUAUGAUAGACCUCGAUCAAGGUUGUCUAUGGUCACAAAGAGCUGCGACCUUGAUCUAAGUUCAAAGUCAUUACGGUUGCGAGCUAUGCAUGGCCUGGAGGAGGUUGGCAGCCUCGCGUGGGGAGACAACAAUCACACUAGAGAUGGGGUGGGGUGGAGGAUGGUUGUAGCACCGAAGACGUGAAUGGCAGUCGAAGGUGGUCGACAAUGGGCAGGAGCAGCAAAAGCUUGAUUAGGGUACUGGAUUAGGAUUGUCUAAUUAGGGUUUGUUUUAGAAUUUUGGGUAUUCUAAAAGAUGAGCAGAGGUAAUUUGCAAAGAAAGUAACAAUGGGAGAUGCAAAUUGGUACUUUUGAAAGGAAAAUUAGGGGUUGCCCGUGCAUUGCCAUUGCCGGGCGCCGCCACAGCCUUUGCAAGGCAAAUUAAGGGUGUGCAUUGAUCAUAUUUCAAUCCGAAAAUCAAAUCGGAUCAAUCAGUUCUGAGAUGCUCCCAUUGGAAUGGGUCUAGUUUUCAGUUCCUAGGAAGGAAUUAUAUUGAUUUGAACGGAUCGAAUCAAUAGAAACAGCUUAGAUUAUUUUUAUUUUUAUUUUUCAUAGCAUAAACCAUAAAAUAAAAUAAAAAAUUAAAGACAAAGUAUUGACCAAGCAGUUAUGUUCCUGCUUUCUUGUGAGUCUUUUUUUUUUUUAAUAGUAGAAACCAUAAAGAAAAGAAAAUAACACCGCUGGUCUCCCAGUGGACAGGGUUGGUUGCUAGUUCCAUAAACUGGGAAUUGACUCUAUCUAGUAAAGUUUCUAAUUUCAAGAUGAGAACCGACUUAUCCCAGAACCGAUUACCCAUAGGUUAAAUACAGAGUAAUUUAUUUAAUUGCAACAACAUUGACAGAACAUACCAAAAACGCCAUACACAACGAUCCAAAAUAAACCGGUCUCCCUGUUGGAAUCAAUUUAAGUGCACUCGAUAUCUGAAAGAUAAACAGCUUGAAAUCCAUCGACUUGGAGAUGACUCAACAAUGAAGUGGAAAAAAAUAGUUAUCAUAGUAGUCACCUACAUUGACUGUCUCUUGGAGAAGAAAUGCCUCCAACAUGAAAAGCUUUUACAGAGACGAGUGCUCUAAGUUUGGUUGAUUUGAUGAUUCCUAGAAAGGUCAGGAAUUGCAGGUUUGCAUUAUUCUUUGACGUCUGCAAAGGUUAGCUGCCUCGAAAGCAAGGAUUUUUCGUCAUCGUCAUCCAAGUCGAUGCUUUCGUCCAUUCCGUAAUUAAUGUCAAUCACGCUCCUCUCCUUCUCAUAACUGCUGCUCGACUUUGACAUAUCAAGGCCGUCCAGAUUUUCUUCUGAGUGAGGGCUAUCGACCUCCAUCUGCUGCAUUUCCGAUUCAAUCAGCGCAGUCAUUCUUGCACGGUCUCUAUCUCUCGGGUAUGUGCAGUAGAGAAAAGAGUAAAUAAGGCAACAGAUCAUCAUUGGGAUUCCAAUAGCUGUGUAAAGGGCUUUUGCAAGCGAUGCAGCGUUUUCCCUAUCUGUUUCUAUCUCUUCAGAGUUGGAUGAUCCCUUGGGAAUUGGCUUAUACCCGUAUACAUGCUGAGCCAGAAUCCCAACCACUGGGGGAGCGAAUGAUGCCAGGACGGACUCAAAAGAGCGAUCCAGUGCAUAGAUGCUUGUUCUGGAUUUCUCAGGGACUAUCUCUGCAAAUAUUGGACUGUGCACUGCGUUUAUAUUUGCAAGAAAUCAACUGGAGAAGUACUUUAGCAACUAAAGCUGCUAAUUUGGCACACAGAAUUGCAAUAAGUGCAGUGCAACAAAGGGGAAGCACCAUUGAAAACAUAGUCUAUUCAGACAAGCAAUAUAUUGAGAAACCAAUUUCCUACAAGAAGAGGUAAUAGGAUGUACUUAUUACACUUACUUGUUCGUAGCUGGGCCAUUCCAGGAUAUGACCAGACCCAUGAUGAACAGAACCAGACCGUGCAUGAAGGCUGUCGAAGGGUUGUCAGGCAAUGCCAGGAGCAAGACCGCAGCUAAAGGAAUCGCCAAACCAGAACUUAUCUGCGACAGAAUUAUUCUACCCGAGUUGGGCAAGCGUUUGGCAAGAAUAUCCCCCAUGUAGCCUCCGAAGAGACCACCAAGUGAACCAGCAAUAAUGAAGAUUGUCGUGAGGAAUGCUGUUGUAUUGUGAGUGAAGCCAAUGAGUUCCAACCACAUUGCAGUAAAUGAAAGAGCUGACCAUGGGAAUGACCCAGACACGCCCUGAGCCACUAUUAUCUGAAAAGACGGGAUCCUCAUCACAGAUUUUGCUUCUUUAACCAGGUCUUUGAGCUCUGACCAGAAGGACUUAUGUGAAUUCAGAUCUUCAGCUUGAUUUAUGUCAUCAGAAUGUCGAGGAUCAAUAGCAAAGAAACGCACCAAAAUACCAACGACAACGCUUACGAUGGCGACCAGGUGAAAAGCAAUUCUCCAACCAGGAAUUCCCAGGAAGGAUGUUGAGGCAAUUAAAACAGAACACAGCGAUCCAAUGAUGGAGCCAAUGUUGCCUGUUAGCUGCAGCCAUCCAAAUGCCAUCCCACGGUUGCUAUCGUCUGUAGAGUCCGCAACAAGAGACAGAACUGCGGGUAUUACUAUUGCAAGUCCAAUCCCAUUCAAGCCUCUUGAAAUCGCUACCUGGAAAAGAAAAGGGAGAUGAUACUAAGAAAGAAAAGGUACAUCAUGAUUGCAUACACAAAUUCUUAGACAACAGGCCUUCUUUCAGAUAGUGACAAUUUGAACUCAGAAAGCGAAGAUUUGGAGGCAGUUAACAACUAUAGUCAUUUAUUUCUUUACUUCAGAUUUGAUAACCACUUAAUUUUGUGCGUUUGAGUCGCUGCCAUUUCCUCCUAAAUAUAAUGAUAUCAUGGACACAAUAGAUCAACGCCAACUCAUUUAAAUCUCUGUCAAAGAGUUUCCUUCAGAUGACCUCGUAUGCAGUCAUGGUUCAUAUAACACACUUCUAGCAACCUAAUUGUAUCUAGUGAAUGCUGGAAGCUUUUACAUCUUCUCUUCCUUCCUGAUUCUUUUCAGAGCUCGUUACAGGUAAACUUUGCUCAAGUCUCAAACUCUGCAUGCAUACGCAAUUUUUUUGGAAGAGGGUUUGCAUUUGGCAAGUUCAAAGCAAAUGGUAAAUCGGAAUUCCUUUAAAUAUCAGUCUCAUUCAAUAACAGAUAAUAUAAAGCACUGCCACAUUUACUCGGUAUUGCUAAUAACAGAUGGUCAAUAAACCUAGAUCGAGCAGCAGCAUUACUCCACACGCUGCCCAGAUCAGCUCAGUUCCAUCACGCCGACAAAUUUUAAAGGGCAAACAACCGUGCCACAAGCUACGUAAUUACAUCAUCCGAGCAGAGUGCCAUAGUAGGGCAUUGGGAUACCAACCGCUAGUUGCAAUAUUCAAACUAUCCAGGUCUCUAGAACACGGAACAAGAAAUAAAAUGCUUCCAUUACUCAAACAUUAUACUAUGCUAAACUUCAAAUUUCAGUACCCUUUUACUAGGUCUUCAGAGAAACCUCAAUAAACAAAAGAACUAGACCAAAUCCACGUCUCCUUCCAACUGUCAUUCAAGAACAAGCAACUGAAAUAUAAAACGAGGAAAACGGAAAACAACCCAACCACCCACCCAUCAAACUAAACCCAACCCAAUCCCUCCCUCACCAAACUAAAUCCCACCCACGAAGAGAGAGAGAGAAGACCUGCAGGAAAGUGGAGGAAAUGGCGACGAGGAAAGUGGCGGCGGCCCAGAGGAAGGCGCCGAGGGCGAUGACGUGGGCACGGUUGUGGCGGGACGCGAGGUAAGCGGCGAGCGGAUAGCAAGCGGACUGGACGAUGGAUCGGAACAGGGUCAACGACCCGAGGGCCGUCGGAUCGGCGUGCAGGGCGGCGCCCACCUCCUUGUACACCCCCGGGAGCAGGGACUCGUCGGCCCUCUCCAUGAUGGACGCCAGGUUCACCAGCACCAGCGUCACCGUCUCCGACUUCAUCGCUCGCGCGUUCUUGCGCCGUUCCGAGAACGUGAGGCAGAUCGGAGACUUCUUCUUCGGUUUGACUGGCGUGUUCGUGGGGACUGUGGAGGAUUGAUUGGCUGCGGGAGGGCGUAUCGCGGGGGCUGCAGCCGAGCGUGGGGCGAAGACCGUACGAUCCGGAGGGCGUCCGGCAUGUGCGGACGAGAUAUCGUGGGAAGGGUCGAAGGAGUUGCUGGGGGAUUUUUGCCUUUCGGUGCGGGGAAGCAAAUUGAUAAGGACAACGUGCCGACCAUUUUCGGACAAGAAGCAUAUCUUUCUAUUAUGCUCGCCCAAUCAGGGCGCAUUGCUUCUUUCUGGGUUCUGUCCUAAAAUCUAUGGGACCCGAAAAUAGAUUUUCAAACAAGCAAUCGAGGUUUAUUCUUUUGAGACCCGACAUCGAUGAUCUGAUCGUUAAGGAUCUGUAUAAGUGUCGAUACAUCUACUUUUAAAAAUGGGGGCGAAAGACUACUGUGAAUUGUAUUACAUCUCACGUGGUGAAUAAACCGACUUUCUAUUUGACUAAAAAAGAACAAAUUGACCUUUUUAAUUAAGGUAGAUCAUAAAUGAAGACCAUUGAUGCCCAACUAGAAGAUUAGUGAGGAUUGGCUUCAUUAUAAUCUUAUUGAGAGCAAAUUUCUGAAUGAUUGAAACUAUCAAGAAAUUCGGCCCCAUUAUAAUUACAUAACACAACUUUUAACACCCUCCAUUGCAUGUAAUUCAAAUCUUAAAUGUAAUGCAUUAAAUUGUGGAAGUAAUCACAUCAUACACACAACUAUAUUAGUAUAAGAAAAGGACAAAAAUAUAAAGUGAGGCAUAUCGAUAAUAGAGUGAAUCUCACAUUUGAGCUUGUAUCAUGUAUUCUAACAUCAUGUCGGACGAACCAAUUUUUUGGGGAUUGAACAUGUUAUUAUUCAAUUCUAAACAUUUUAUCUUCAAUCAAUUGAAUUAUAAACCUUUUAACCAAGAUUUGAUUGAGUCCUAAUGUUGUCAUCAAGAACUAUUGAAUUUUUUUUUACCUUUUUCAUGUUGCAAACUAAUCAUGAUUUUAACCAUGAUUUUAACCAUAAUCGAGGAAUUUAUGUAUAUAUUUUGUCCAACAUUGAUAAAAGAAUCUCCUUCUAAGAAUUAAUCAAAAACAUAAAUAAAAAAACAUGAAUUUAUGCUUCAUAAGAAUUCCCAAUAAUUUAUUUUUUGAGAAGGUUGAAAUUUUUCGGAGUUCUAUUUGCUUAUCAAAGGUUCAAAUUGAACCAAAAAAAAAAUGUAAAAUAAAGAUAUUUAGGGCUUAUUCGGUAACAUCUUCAUUUCUCCUUUUUUCGGUUCUAGUUUUUUUGUUUCUUGGAAUAAAAAGGAACAAAAAUUUGUUUGUGUACAUUGGUAAAUUUUUUUAUUCCCCUAAAUAGAUCAAUGGCCAUGGAAAAGAUUUGAUACAAGAAUAAAAAUUAGAAAAUAUCUACUUUUGUGGUCCCAGGAACCAAAAAAGAAAAUAAUGUUAUUUUAGAAAAACAAGUUCAGCGUGAUCUGAUGCUUAUCUUUACAUAAUCGUCAUAAGAUCCAAGUGAGAUUUACAUAUGGACCGAGUCUUGUCACUCAAUUCGAGUCCCCAAUUUUGAAAUAAAAAAUAAAAAAUUCAGAAAUUAAGGAAAACAUUUUAAAUUUUGAUUUUGAGUAGUUUACUAGAUUUUAGUGCUAAUUCUAAUUUAGAAUUAGUUUAAACGUAAAAAAAAAUGUGAAAUAUUUUUUAUGAAAAUUGAAUCUUAAAUUCAAUUACCUCUUAGGGCUUUAUCAUAUGGAUUUUUAAAUGCCUUUUUCGGACAAUGGUAUGUUGUGACAGCUUGACGAUUUAGCUGGGGAUUUUUAAAUGCCUUUUUUUAAGGGAUAACAGAAUGUGGCGACAGCUUGACGAUUUCAUUGAGAGAAUACAUCUUCUUCCCUUAACAUUCUAUGAGAGACAUCCUUUAAUAUUAUCAACAAUUCUAUUUUAAUAGAAAAUUAGAUGGCUCUGAAUAAAUCUUUUGUAUUAUCAUUUGUCUUAUGUUCAUAAUAAUCGAAUAGGGCUAUGUUCCAUGGAUUUAUGAUAUCAUUUGCUUAAAGGUUUGAUGUUUUUGUACAAAUAAGUGCACCAACUUUAGGAUCACCCCCUUCUUAGUGGUUUCAUCCUUGCUCAUUCCACCGGGAAGAGUUUGCUCUUUUUCUUACCAUUCUUAUUGUGGAAAUAAUUUAUUUUUCAAUACACUAAUUACCUAAAACGCAAGAGAGAUGGAAUAUUGAAGAUAACAGACGCGCCCUACUAUGUUAGACCUCGAUCAAGGUCGUCUAUGGUCAUGAAGAGGUUGGGACCUUGAUCUAAGGUCAAGGUCAUCAAUGUCACGGGCUACCCAUGGCCUAGAGGAGGUUGGUGGCCUCGCCUUAAAGAUGGAGAGGGUUGAAUGAUGGCUGUAGUAUCCAAGAUGCGAAUGGCGAUCGGAAGUGGUCGAUCGCCGGCAAGAGGGGUGAAAGCUUAAUUAGGGUACCUAGAUUAGACUCGUUUAAUUAGGGUUUGUUUUGGAAGUCUAGGGACUAGAACAGAGGUUAUCUGAAGAAAAAAAAAACGAGGCUAUGUAUGAAUAAAUCUAAGUUGUUUUGCGAUCGAAUAUGCAAUUUGGUGUCCAACAUGAAACACAAGAUGCAAAAUGGUACUUUUGAAAGGAAAAUUAGGGGUUGCCUUCACAUUGCCACGUCGGGCCGCCAUCGCCGCAGCCGCUACCAUUGACCUUCACUAGGAAAAUUAACAGUGUGCAUUGGUUCCAAUCCAUUUGGAGAUUGAACCAGACUAGCUGGUUCUGGGUAAUCGGUUUGGCUCCUAGUUCCUAGGGAGGAACCAUAUCAACCAGAUCGGACCGAACCGGCAAAAACAACCCAUAUUAUUUUUAAUCUCUUUAUAGCAUAAACCAUUAAAAAGAAAAAAUUGAACGACAAAUUAUUGACUAAGCAGUACAUUCCUGGUUCCUUGUGAAUUUAUUUCAUUUUUUCAAUUUUCUCAAAGCAGAAACCAUAAAGAAAAUAAAAUAACACUGUUGGUUUCCGGGUGGACAAGGUCCGUCGCCAGUUCCAUUGACUGGGAACCAAUCCUAUCGGAUCUAAUUUCUUAUUUUAGGAUGAGAACCGACCCACCACAGAACUGAUUACUAGUAGGGCAAAUACAGGGUAAUGUUAUUAAAUUGCAACAACAUUGACAGAACAGACCGAAACACCACAGAGGACGAUCCAAAAUAGAAUGAUCUCCCUGUCUCCCUGUUCGAGUCAAUUUAAGUGCACUCAAUAUGUAAACAGCCUGAUAUGCAUUGGAUUACAGAUGACACCAUAAUGAAAAGGAAAUACAUAGCUAUCAUGGUAGUCACCUACAUUAACUUUCUCUUUUUACAAGAGUCAAGAUCACAUCUCCAGCCAAUAUUUUCUCGUAGAAGUGUCAAGAUCACAUCUCCCGGACAUGCAUCCCCAUAUGAACAGCUUUACAGAGACAAGUGCUCUAAAGUUGGUUGAUCUUAUAAUUCCUAGAAGAGUCAGGACUUGCAGGUUUGCAUUAUUCUUUGACAUCUGCAAAGGUUAGCUGUCUCGAAAGCAAGGAUUUUUCGUCGUCGUCAUCCAAGUCAAUACUUUCAUCCAUUCCGUCAUCGAUGUCGAUCAUGCUCCUCUCCUUCUCAUAACGGCCAGUCAACUUUACACUAUCAAGGUCAUCAGGAUUUUCUUCUGAGUGAGGGCUAUCGACCUCCAUCUGCUGCAUUUCUGAUUCAAUCAGCGCAGUCAUUCUUGCACGGUCUCUGUCUCUCGGGUACGUGCAGUAGAGGAAAGAGUAAAUAAAGCAACAGAUCAUCAUUGGGAUUCCGAUAGCUGUGUAAAGGGCUUUUGCAAGCGAUGCAGCAUUUUCCCUAUCUGUUUCUAUCUCUGCAGAGUGGGACGAUCCCUUGGGAAUUGGCUUAUACCCAAAUACAUGCUUAGCCAGUUUCCCUACCAUUGGGGGAGCGAAUGAUGCUAUGACGGACUCAAAAGAGCGAUCCAGUGCAUAGAUGCUUGUUCUGGAUUCCUCAGGGACUAUCUCUGCAAAUAUUGGACUAUGCACUGCGUUUAUAUUUGCAAGAAAUCAAUUGGAGAAGUACUUUAGCAACUAAAGCUGCUAAUUUGGCACACAGAAUUGCAGUAAGUGCAGUGCUACAAGGGGAAGCACCAUUGAAAACAUAGUCUAUUCGGACAAGCAAUAUAUUGACAAAACCAAGAAGAGGUGGCAGGAUAUACUAGUUACACUUACUUGUUCGUAGCUGGGCCAUUCCAGGAUAUGAUCAGACCCAUGAUAAACAGAACCAGACCGUGCAUGAAAGCUGUGGAAGGGUCAUCAGGCAAUGCCAGGAGCAAGACCGCAGCUAAAGGAAUCGCCAAACCAGAACUUAUCUGCGACAAAAUUAUUCUACCUGAGUUGGGCAAGCGUUUGGCCAGAAUAUCCCCCAUCCAGCCUCCGAAGAGACCGCCAAGUGAGGCGGCAAUAAUGAAGAUUGUCAUGAGCAAUGCUGUUGUAUUGUGAGUGAAGCCAAUCAGUUCCAACCACAUUGCAGCAAAUGAAAGAGCCGACCACGGGAAUGACCCGGACACACCCUGAGCCACUAAUAUCUGAAAAGAUGGGAUCCUCAUGACCGAUUUCGCUUCUUUAACCAGUUCUUUGAGUUCUGACCAGAAGGACUUCUGUGGAUUCAGAUCUUUCGCUACGUUUCUGUCUUCAGAAUGUCGAGGAUCGUUAGCAAAAAGCCGCACCAAAACACCAACGACGACGCUCACGAAGGCGACCAGGUGAAAAGCAAUUCUCCAACCGGGGAUUCCCAGGAAGGAUGUCGAGGCUAUUAAAACAGAACAGAGCGAUCCGAUGAUGGAGCCGAUGUUACCCGUGAGCUGCAGCCAUCCAAACGCCAUCCCACGGUUGCUAUCAUCUGUAGAGUCUGCAACAAGGGACUGAACUGCAGGUAUUACUAUCGCGAGUCCGAUCCCAUUCAAGCCUCUAGAAAUCGCUACCUGGAAAACAAAACAGAAACAGACCAAAUUCACAUCUUUCCCAUUUGUCAUUCAAGAACAACUGAACAAGCAACCGAAAUAUAAAACGACGAAAACGGAAAGCAACCCAACCACUCAACCAUCAAACUAAACACAACCCAAUCACUCCCUCCCCAAACUCAAUCCUACCCACGAAGAUAUAUAUAUAUAUAUAUAUAUAUAUAUAUAUAUAUAUAUAUAUAUAUAUAUAUAUAUACAUAGAGAGAGAGAGAGAGAGAGAGAGAGAGAGAGAGAGAGAGAGAGGGUACCUGUAGGAAAGUGGAGGAAAUAGCGACGAGGAAAGUGGCGGCGGCCCAGAGGAAGGCGCCGAGGGCGAUGAUGUGGGCACGGUUGUGGCGGGAGGCGAGGUAAGCGGCGAGCGGAUAGCAAGCGGACUGGACGACGGCUCGGCACGUCGUCAGCGACCCGAGGGCCGUCGGGCCGGCGUGCAGGGCGGCACCGACCUCCUUGUACACGCCCGGGAGCAGAGACUCGUCGGCCCUCUCCAUGAUGGACGCCAGGUUCACCAGCACCAGCGUCACCGUCUCCGGCUUCAUCGUCCAACGGAGGAAAUUCGGAAACUCCUUGUUGGUCUUUGACUCGGCGCCCUUCCGUGG